Molecule: unclassified non-coding RNA, 219 nt
Filed under: soil metagenome
Description: partial contains 5.8S ribosomal RNA, internal transcribed spacer 2, and large subunit ribosomal RNA
Source: RNAcentral
AACAUCGCGCACCUGCGGGAACCUGCGGAAGGAUCAUUACAGAGUGUAAAAACUCCCAAAACCCAUGUGAACAUACCUUUUUGUUGCUUCGGCGGGAUCGCCCCGGGCGCCUUGUGUGCCCCGGAGUCAGGCGCCCGCCGGGGGACCCAAACUCUUGUUUUUAACGAGUAUCUUCUGAGUAACGUUUUUAAAUAAAUAAAAACUUUCAACAAUGGAUCU